UGGAUAACUUCGGGAAACCGGAGCUAAUACCGGAUAAUAUAUUGAACCGCAUGGUUCAAUAGUGAAAGACGGUUUUGCUGUCACUUAUAGAUGGAUCCGCGCCGCAUUAGCUAGUUGGUAAGGUAACGGCUUACCAAGGCAACGAUGCGUAGCCGACCUGAGAGGGUGAUCGGCCACACUGGAACUGAGACACGGUCCAG
Molecule: ribosomal RNA, 200 nt
Filed under: uncultured Staphylococcus sp.
Lineage: Bacteria; Bacillati; Bacillota; Bacilli; Caryophanales; Staphylococcaceae
Description: partial 16S ribosomal RNA
Rfam family: Bacterial small subunit ribosomal RNA
Source: RNAcentral